AUACGUAGGGGGCGAGCGUUGUCCGGAAUGAUUGGGCGUAAAGGGCGCGUAGGCGGCCCGGUAAGUCUGGAGUGAAAGUCCUGUUUUUAAGAUGGGAAUUGCUUUGGAUACUGUCGGGCUUGAGUGCAGGAGAGGUAAGUGGAAUUUCCAGUGUAGCGGUGAAAUGCGUAGAGAUUGGGAGGAACACCAGUGGCGAAGGCGACUUACUGGACUGUAACUGACGCUGAGGCGCGAAAGUGUGGGGAGCAAACAGGAUUAGAUACCCUGGUAGUCCACACUGUAAACGAUGAAUGCUAGGUGUAGGGGGUAUCGACCCCUUCUGUGCCGCAGUCAACACAAUAAGCAUUCCGCCUGGGGAGUACGGCCGCAAGGUUGAAACUCAAAGGAAUUGACGGGG
This 397-nucleotide ribosomal RNA is filed under the name uncultured bacterium. RNAcentral's name for it is "partial 16S ribosomal RNA". It matches the Rfam family "Bacterial small subunit ribosomal RNA", at positions 523 to 918 of the family's 1533-position model. The record is from RNAcentral.